GACGGAAGGUGCAAGCGUUGCUCGGAAUCACUGGGCGUAAAGGGUGCGUAGGCGGCCGUGCAAGUCAGUGCUGAAAUAUCCCGGCUUAACCGGGAGGGUGGCAUUGAUACUGCGGGGCUAGAGUACAGAUGAGGUAGGCGGAAUUGACGGUGUAGCGGUGAAAUGCUUAGAUAUCGUCAAGAACACCUAUAGCGAAGGCAGCUUACUAGGCUGUAACUGACGCUGAGGCACGAAAGUGUGGGGAUCAAACGGG
RNAcentral lists this ribosomal RNA (253 nucleotides) under uncultured bacterium. RNAcentral describes it as "partial 16S ribosomal RNA". It matches the Rfam family "Bacterial small subunit ribosomal RNA", at positions 524 to 776 of the family's 1533-position model. The record is from RNAcentral.